This 84-nucleotide transfer RNA is filed under the name Sulfobacillus thermosulfidooxidans DSM 9293. RNAcentral's name for it is "Sulfobacillus thermosulfidooxidans (strain DSM 9293 / VKM B-1269 / AT-1) tRNA". It matches the Rfam family "tRNA". From Rfam's summary of the family: Transfer RNA (tRNA) molecules are approximately 80 nucleotides in length. Their secondary structure includes four short double-helical elements and three loops (D, anti-codon, and T loops). The record is from Rfam by way of RNAcentral. Lineage: Bacteria; Bacillati; Bacillota; Clostridia; Eubacteriales; Clostridiales Family XVII. Incertae Sedis.
GCCGAAGUGGCGGAAUUGGCAGACGCGUACGACUCAAAAUCGUAUGAGGUCACCCUCGUGCCGGUUCAAGUCCGGCCUUCGGCA